CCUACGGGAGGCAGCAGUGAGGAAUAUUGGUCAAUGGGCGUAAGCCUGAACCAGCCAAGCCGCGUGAGGGAUGAAGGUUCUAUGGAUCGUAAACCUCUUUUAUAAGGGAAUAAAGUGCGGGACGUGUCCCCUUCUGUAUGUACCUUAUGAAUAAGGAUCGGCUAACUCCGUGCCAGCAGCCGCGGUAAUACGGAGGAUCCGGGCAUUAUCCGGAUUUAUUGGGUUUAAAGGGUGCGUAGGCGGCCUUUUAAGUCAGCGGUGAAAGGCUGUGGCUCAACCAUAGAAUUGCCGUUGAAACUGGGAGGCUUGAGUGUGUUUGAGGCAGGCGGAAUGCGUGGUGUAGCGGUGAAAUGCUUAGAUAUCACGCAGAACCCCGAUUGCGAAGGCAGCCUGCCGGGCCAUGACUGACGCUGAUGCACGAAAGCGUGGGGAUCAAACAGGAUUAGAUACCCUUGUAGUC
RNAcentral lists this ribosomal RNA (460 nucleotides) under uncultured bacterium. RNAcentral's name for it is "partial 16S ribosomal RNA". It matches the Rfam family "Bacterial small subunit ribosomal RNA", at positions 338 to 795 of the family's 1533-position model. The record is from RNAcentral.